This 34-nucleotide ribosomal RNA is filed under the name Pleochaeta shiraiana. Its description in RNAcentral is "partial 28S rRNA". Lineage: Eukaryota; Fungi; Ascomycota; Leotiomycetes; Helotiales; Erysiphaceae. RNAcentral also lists the same sequence under 3 other names. The record is from RNAcentral.
UUGACCUCGAAUCAGGUAGGGAUACCCGCUGAAC